UACGAAGGGGGCUAGCGUUGCUCGGAAUUACUGGGCGUAAAGCGCACGUAGGCGGGUUGUUAAGUCGGGGGUGAAAUCCUGGAGCUCAACUCCAGAACUGCCUUCGAUACUGGCGACCUUGAGUCCGAGAGAGGUGAGUGGAAUUCCGAGUGUAGAGGUGAAAUUCGUAGAUAUUCGGAGGAACACCAGUGGCGAAGGCGGCUCACUGGCUCGGUACUGACGCUGAGGUGCGAAAGCGUGGGGAGCAAACAGG
This 253-nucleotide ribosomal RNA is filed under the name uncultured bacterium. RNAcentral describes it as "partial 16S ribosomal RNA". It matches the Rfam family "Bacterial small subunit ribosomal RNA", at positions 524 to 776 of the family's 1533-position model. The record is from RNAcentral.